GCGCUCCAAGAGGGCCUGUGCAGGUUAAAUGGAAUGCGGCUAUUAAGGAGCCCUUUCAUGGUGAAGAUUUGACAGCUAUACAGAGUCCCCUGUGUCCGAGGGUUGGGCAAGGGGAGUACAGAGACCGGCACACAGGGAACCAGAAACAUCCAUGGAACAAAUGGCUACAGAAAAACUGAAUGAAAAAGACUGUCCUGAUUUAUGAGAUUCCCUGGGUCUCCGCUUGUUACUAUUAUCACUACUGGCAAAAACACCACU
Lutra lutra (Eurasian river otter) is the source of this 258-nucleotide long non-coding RNA. RefSeq lists it as uncharacterized. The transcript has 3 exons. The record is from RefSeq and is a predicted model, not a curated record. NCBI's taxonomy places the organism in Eukaryota, Metazoa, Chordata, Mammalia, Carnivora, Mustelidae.